CUACACCGAUGGAUCAAUAGAAGGUUUAGUUCUCCAUAAAAAUGGAGCAGCCGCUUUUCUGUUCUACAGUGUGUGAAUACAGACUCCGCAGCCCUAGCUGCAUUUUCUAGUUUAAAUAUUAUGGGCUUCAAAAGUUCCGGGCCGAAAACAUAAGUUUGGGUCGAAAAUAAAUUAAGUUAUCACGUUUGGAACAUAAACGCA
RNAcentral lists this long non-coding RNA (201 nucleotides) under Trifolium pratense (red clover). RNAcentral describes it as "long non-coding RNA (TPRA_LNC008849)". Lineage: Eukaryota; Viridiplantae; Streptophyta; Magnoliopsida; Fabales; Fabaceae. The record is from RNAcentral.